Molecule: ribosomal RNA, 400 nt
Filed under: uncultured bacterium
Lineage: Bacteria
Description: bacterial SSU rRNA
Rfam family: Bacterial small subunit ribosomal RNA
Source: RNAcentral
UAGGGAAUAUUGGGCAAUGGACGCAAGUCUGACCCAGCCAUGCCGCGUGCAGGAUGAAGGCCUUCUGGGUUGUAAACUGCUUUUAUCUAGGAAGAAAAAACCCUUGCGAGGGGAACUGACGGUACUAGGUGAAUAAGCACCGGCUAACUCCGUGCCAGCAGCCGCGGUAAUACGGAGGGUGCAAGCGUUGUCCGGAUUUAUUGGGUUUAAAGGGUGCGUAGGCGGCCCGUUAAGUCCGUGGUGAAAGCCAACAGCUCAACUGUUGAACUGCCAUGGAUACUGACGGGCUUGAGUACAGACGAGGUAGGCGGAAUGGAUGGUGUAGCGGUGAAAUGCAUAGAUACCAUCCAGAACACCGAUUGCGUAGGCAGCUUACUAGGCUGUAACUGACGCUGAGGCA